UAGAAAUCUAUGAAAUUUUAACACAAGGUUUAUGACCACAAAAGGAAGGUUGGGAUUGAUUUUGGGAGUUUUGGUCCCAAUAUUUUAGGAAAAAGGGGCCAAAAAGGGCCCAAAUAAGCAUUUUCUUGGUUUUCGCACUUUAACUUUAGUUUAAGUAAAUAGAAAUCUAUGAAAUUUUGACACAAGGUUUAUGACCACAAAAGGAAGGUUGGGAUUGAUUUUGGGAUGUUUGGUUCCAACAGUUUAGGAAU
RNAcentral lists this long non-coding RNA (251 nucleotides) under Mytilus galloprovincialis (Mediterranean mussel). Lineage: Eukaryota; Metazoa; Mollusca; Bivalvia; Mytilida; Mytilidae. The record is from RNAcentral.